Molecule: ribosomal RNA, 232 nt
Filed under: uncultured bacterium
Lineage: Bacteria
Description: partial 16S ribosomal RNA
Rfam family: Bacterial small subunit ribosomal RNA
Source: RNAcentral
GAUCCUGGCUCAGGAUGAACGCUAGCUACAGGCUUAACACAUGCAAGUCGAGGGGAAACGAUAUUGGAAGCUUGCUUUUGAUGGGCGUCGACCGGCGCACGGGUGAGUAACGCGUAUCCAACCUGCCCAUCACUUGGGAAUAACCUUGCGAAAGUAAGACUAAUGCCCAAUGAUAUCCCACGAAGGCAUCCGAAUGGGAUUAAAGAUUUAUCGGUGAUGGAUGGGGAUGCGU